RNAcentral lists this long non-coding RNA (723 nucleotides) under Chinchilla lanigera (long-tailed chinchilla). Its description in RNAcentral is "lncRNA (ENSCLAG00000026016.1)". Lineage: Eukaryota; Metazoa; Chordata; Mammalia; Rodentia; Chinchillidae. The record is from RNAcentral.
CUUGGACUGUACACCUGGACCAGUGCUAAGAAGAGCCCAUGGCACCUCAGAAUAGACUUCAUGCUGAGCCUUCCAUGUGAAUAUGUCAGUGACUGGUUUUAUGCUUUGAAGAAUAAGCUAAGACAGCCAGUCAAAACAAUACCACAUUGGGGUGGUAGGAAUGACAGAAGAUCUGAACCAAUAUUAAACGUCUAAAUGAAUGAAGCCCUUUACUCUUCAUUGGUUUCCUAUCAAAGAAAUGGAAAAGAAAAGAAAAAGACAUGGUCAAAGGAGGAAGAUUGACCCAACAUUGGACUUACAAACCUCCAAAUCAGCCCGAGAGGGAAGGCGCUGUGAUCGACAACUGAUUUGAGCAGUGCAACUGCUAAUCUUGAUAUGUGAACUUCACUGAAUUAAAAACACCUAGCAUACCCAAAGGGCAUGUUCCUGGGUGUGCUCUGCUGACUCAUCAGGCGUGGCCUGAACUGUGCCUCUUCUCUGCUCCUGAGCCGUCAUGGGCUAAGCAGCUUUGCUCUGCCACCCAUUCCUGUUCUGAAGGCCUGCCUUGGCACCAGACGGCCCUGGACUAAAUUCUCUCAAAUUUAAGAGCCAAAUUAAUCCUUUCUUCUUCCAAAUUGUGUCAGGUAUUGUGUCUUGAUUGAUUCAUAUAAGAAGAAUGAAGGUGAGAACUCUGGUACGAAAGCAAUACAAAUAUUCAAGAAACUAGUUGGCAUCAACCUGUUU